This 458-nucleotide ribosomal RNA is filed under the name uncultured bacterium. RNAcentral's name for it is "bacterial SSU rRNA". It matches the Rfam family "Bacterial small subunit ribosomal RNA", at positions 338 to 793 of the family's 1533-position model. The record is from RNAcentral.
CCUACGGGAGGCAGCAGUGAGGAAUAUUGGGCAAUGGAGGCAACUCUGACCCAGCCAUGCCGCGUGCAGGAAGACGGCCCUAUGGGUUGUAAACUGCUUUUAUACAGGAAGAAACCUUUUCACGUGUGAAGAGCUGACGGUACUGUACGAAUAAGGACCGGCUAACUCCGUGCCAGCAGCCGCGGUAAUACGGAGGGUCCAAGCGUUAUCCGGAAUCAUUGGGUUUAAAGGGUCCGUAGGCGGGCAAUUAAGUCAGAGGUGAAAUCCCACAGCUCAACUGUGGAACUGCCUUUGAUACUGGUUGUCUUGAGUUAUAGUGAGGUAGAUGGAAUGUGUAGUGUAGCGGUGAAAUGCAUAGAUAUUACACAGAACACCGAUUGCGAAGGCAGUCUACUAACUAUAUACUGACGCUAAUGGACGAAAGCGUGGGGAGCGAACAGGAUUAGAUACCCUGGUAG